Molecule: ribosomal RNA, 120 nt
Filed under: Scophthalmus maximus (turbot)
Lineage: Eukaryota; Metazoa; Chordata; Actinopteri; Pleuronectiformes; Scophthalmidae
Source: RNAcentral
GCUUACGGCCACACCGCCUGGUUCACGCCUGAUCUCGUUUGAUCACGGAAGCUAAAAUAGGGUGGGCCGAGGUUAGUACUUGGAUGGGACACCGCCUGGGAAUACCAGGUGCUGCAAGCU